Molecule: long non-coding RNA, 6940 nt
Organism: Callithrix jacchus (white-tufted-ear marmoset)
Lineage: Eukaryota; Metazoa; Chordata; Mammalia; Primates; Cebidae
Source: RefSeq, a predicted model, not a curated record
UUUCAGAGCUGCAAGCAAAGAAUGGAAAUUUCCAAUUGCAGCAUCAAGGGCUGCUGUUCUGCUGACUGUCUUGCUCAGCCGGGGUCAUCUGCUUCUCUAAGACAUCAAGGAAUGCCAAGAGUCUUGCUCUGUUGUCCAGGCUGGAGUGCAGCAGCAUGACCAGAGCUCACUGCAGCCUCAACCUCCCAAGCUCAGGCGAUUCUCUCACCUCAGCCUCCUGAGUAGCUGUGACCACAGGGUCUCCCAGGCUGGAGUGCAUGGACACGAUCACAGCUCAUUGCAGCCUGGACCUCCCCGGUUCAAGCAAUCCUCCCAUCUCAACCUCUUGAGUCUCUGGAACCACAGGUUAUGAACAAUAGUGAUUGAGAGCAUCUGCAGCAGUCCUUGGUGCCUAGUACUGAGCCUUGUACUAGAAAGGAUGACACAUCAGUUCAAAGGAUGACAACCAUCUAUCUGGUUGCAAAAACAGGGUACUUCACCUUCCCUACACCCCAAAGGGUGUACGACAGGUAUACAAGGCGACUCUUGGAGCAAAGAUAGGGCCAGCCGAGGUGGAGCAGGUUCUCUCUCAGGCAGAAACCAACUAAAAGGAGAAGGGAGAGGGAAGUCUGUUUUUCACAGCAGCACAGCAGUGCUAGCCUUCUGCCUUGAUCUUUUAACAAACUUAGGAAGAUUCCGACAUCUUUAAGCCUGGGAAGAUACAGUGUUUUCAUUUGAUGACCAGCAAACUAAAGGUCAACCUGAGAAAGUUGAUUCUUGACAUAUUUCCAACAAGGGUCACUUGUUUCAUCCCAACGGACUCCAAGUUAAGAAUUAGAAACCUCAACUGUAGUAAAUUACAUGUUUGAAAAACUGAGAGUUUUAAUUACAUGCACAUCCCAAAUGCCAGCAGGGCCCACUCUAUUCAUGUUCUCAUAGCUUUAUGAAAAACUGUUUGUUUGGAAUGUGGUUUUUAAAAGUAAUUUACCUUCAGGUUUAGUUGAAGAAUGGAAUGUGUGAGAAAAUAAUUUUUCAACUUCUCUUGACUCAGCGAUGAAAAGGAAAAUAUGUUUAUAUGAAUAUGGCUACUUGUUGAUCUAAGACAUUUGAAAUUUCACAUGCUAAAUGCUAAAUCCAAUUAUAAAUUUCAAACAUAAUUUCUAAGACAUACCCUUGUUCUAAUACUACAGAACCAACUCGCUGGGCAUCAACUGGGCAUCAAAUUAACUACUCCUGUAAGGUUACACUAGAGUUACUAGUGGGAACAUUUCAUUUGGGGAGGCAUAAAGACAGGUUACAUGACACUUUGUAAGUGGACUUGAACUAAAGGAUAUUAGAAAUAAAUAGAAACAACAAAAAUAAAACAUGACUAAACCAACUCUCCUGCCACCAUCAAAACAAAUGUUUCCAAGGAACUGAAGCCAAGAAAAUAGAAAUCCAAAAACACAAAGGCCAAGGUAAUGAGUUGAAUCUACUAAAUCUCUAUAAAUGACAACACAAAACACGAAAAACCCAGCAAUACCAAAACCCCACCUACACUGAAGAACACCAGAGAACAUGGACAUUUUCUGCCCCACUGCCUGCCACAGAAAUCCGAGCCUGCAGCUGAUUUUAAAAUGACCAAAUCUCCAAAACUCCUGAGAGAUGGCUGUUUUAAAGACACAAUAUCUUUGAUCCUAUAGGUCAUGUCCACAUUAACAUAAGUAGUAAUUAUUAAAUAAGAAGGAAUCUCCUUCAUUCAUUUUAAAAAGCAAUUCUUUUUCAUUUAGAUUUGCCACAGAGCCAGACCAACUUAAUUGUUAAGGCACAGUAAUAUUAGACUUAAGUAUUUUUCUUCUUCUUCAUCUUUUUUUUUUUUUUUUUUGAGACUGGGUCUCACUCUGUCACCCAAGCUGGAAUGUAGUGGCACAAUCAUGGCUCACUGCAGCCUUGACCUCCUGGGCUCAAGUGAUUCUCCCACUUCAGCCUACGAAGUAGAGACUACAGCUGUGCACUAUCACACCUGGCUAAUUUAAAAGUUUUUAAAAAAGGAGUCUCACUAUGUUGCCCAAGCUGCUCUCAAACCCAUGGACUCAAGUGAUCCUCCCACCUUGGCCUCCCAAAGUAUUGGGAGUACAGGCAUGAGUCAUCAUGUCCCGCCCUGAACUGUUUUUCAAUCCAAUUUUUCUUAUGGAGAGAAAGCUGGACAAUUUAAACAAUUAUGUGUUUUAUUUCUCCAUUUCUGCAUUCCAUUCUUGCUAAUAUACAGGUGUUGAAUUUUAUGUGUUUCAUUCUUAAUGUUUAUGCCUUGUCUUCUUCUUUUUUAGAAAACUUUAAACCAUUCAAAAGGCUGCAGGUAAGUGUUAGUGGCUAGUUCCUAUGAAUAACAAGUCUAGUCCAUACAGCCCAGUAUGUCGACCUGGACAACAGGCCAAAUUCUGCAGAUGUGGUGGUUCAUAUGUGUAAUCUCAGAUCUUUGAGAAGUGGAGGUGGGAGGAUCACUUGAGCCCAAGAGUUCCAGGUUACAGUGAGCCAUGAUCAUGCCUCUGCACUCUAGCCUGGGCAACAGAACGAGAUUCUGCCUCAAAAACAAAAGAAAAAUUCUGGCUGCCCUGAAAACACCCUGAAUGCCUAAAGCAUAGUAAAUCUAAAGCUUGUACCAUAAUGCUUGUCAAUGGUUAAGUUCAUGUGCAUUUCAGACUUCACCAUCACCCUCCCACCAUACCAUGAUACCACCAUACCACUGAUGCAAGAACUACACAGUCUCUUUGUAUCCGUGUGACCGUUUCUUCUCAUUUGGAUACAGUAUCUGCUAACAAGGAAGGUCACUUGAAAGAGAACUGAACUUGGAAUCAGGGUCCAAGUAUGUGAGUUCCAGCUCUUUGGGGAACUAGAUGAGGCAAUUUAGUGCAGUGGAUCAACAUCUGCCUGCUAAACUCAGACUGUAUAGGUGCAAAUCCUGGUUUUCCACUUUCUAGCUAUGUGACCGUAGGCAAGUUUCUUUUUGAGACGGAGUCUUGCUCUAUCACCCAGGCUGCAGUGCAGUGGGGUCAUCUUGGCUCACUGCAACCUCUGCCUCCUGGGUUCAAGCGAUUCUCCUGUGUAGGCAAGUUUCUUAAAUCUUGUAACUUGGUUUUCUUAUUUGUAAAAUGGUGAUGAUAUCAAUAACUACCUUACAGAGUUUUUGUGAGGAUUAAGUGUCUGAAAAAUGGUUAAGAACAGAGUCGCAGAUAUUCUAAGCACUCAAUCAAUAUGGGCAAUUAUUAUUACCAGCUGUAUGACCUUGGGGAUCUCAUUUAAGCUCUCUGAGAUGCUAUUUCAUCUUCUGCACAAGUCAUGAUCUCACAUGAUCUUUAUGAAGACUGAAUAAACUCAAGUAACAUAUAUAUGAAGCUAUUUUUAAAACAUAAACAAUGGCUGGGGGUUGGUGGCUCAUGCCUGUGAUCCCAGCACUUUGGGAGGUCAAGGUGGGUGGCUCACCUGAGGUCAGGAGUUCGAGACCAGCCUGAUAUGGUGAAACUCUGACUCUACUAAAAAUACAAAAAAAAUUAGUUGGGUGUGGUGGCAGGUGCCUAUAAUUCCAGCUACUUGGGAGGAGAAUCACUUGAACCUGGGAGGCAGAGGUUGCUGAGAUCAUGCCACUGCAUUCCAGACUGGGCAACAAAGAGAGGCCCUCUCUCAAAAUAAUAAUAAUAAGUAAAUAAAACAUAAUCAAGUAUCAGACGACUCCUUCAACCAAGUAGAAUUAAUUCCUUUCUGCUCUUUGUUUCCAUAAUACUUAAAAUAACAUACAUGCACCUGCGAUAGCACUUGUCACAAGGUAUUGUAAGGAUUUGCUCACCUGUUCUUCUCCCCCACUGACAGCACAUCCUCCAAUUCACCUCUGCAUCCUUAACACAUUGGACAUACCUGGCACAGGACCAAUGCUCAAUAAAUAUUUGUUUAAAUGAAUAUCACUGAAGCAAUUGCACAGGAAUUCUCAAGGCCUUUGCCGGGAAUGACUGAUUAUCACUUUUGCCAAGGGUCCUUGGUAGACCACCCAGAAAUGUGCUUUUCUUCAGGCACAAUGUAUUGAGAUUCUGUCAUUUCAGAUGCUGCCAAUGUAUUUGUUACAUUUGUUCUUUCUUUCACUUAAAUAAUUAGUGAGCACCUUCUGUGUGCCGGGUCCUAUGCUGGGCUCCAUAUAGUAUACCCAAGUGGCAAAUGACCAGACUAAUCACAGUUCCUGCAUAUUAGAUAUAAAGGGAACCUGUGUACUAUAGAAUCAUCCACUCUUUGAGAUAAGAUACUCCUCUGUUUAAUUAUUUCAUUAGAGUGAUAGAAUCUCAAGGUGGGAAAGAAUGGCUCUUUUGAGCCAUUAUACUUUACUUUUAUUUCUAUUCACUUACUUUAGAGACAAGGUCCUGCUCUGAUGCCCAAGCUGGAGUGCGGUGGCAUGAUCAUGGCUCACUGCAGUCUUGAACUCCUGGGUUCUAGUGAUUCUCCUGCCUCAGCCUCCCCAGUAGCUGGGACUACAGGCGCACACCACCACGCGCCACUUAGGGACCUUAUAGAAUAAUGAUUAAGGUUUGGGAUCUGACUGCCUGGAUUUAAAUCCUAGAUCGGCUUUGUGCCAAGGUGUAAAACCUUGAGCAAACUGCUCAAUCCCACUAAGCCUCACUUUGCUCAUCUGGAAAAUGAGCUAGUGGGAUGUGGUAGAGAUGACAACCACGUUAAUCACUGACUAUGGUGCUUGCCAAACAGUAAGCAGUCACUAUGUUUUGCUAUUAUAAACAAUCUGUUCUCACAUCCUCACUCCACGGAUUGAACUUCUAUCACAAGUGCACCCAGUGAAUAAGGCAUGACUGCCCCACUUCCAGGUACCAGGGUCAGGGAAUGAACUACCUCCACUGGCUGCUAGGCAAAUCUAACAGUUGACCAAUGUUAAUGGGUUGAAAUAUACUUACAUACUGCCAUUUGGGAUUACCCAGAAGAAAUCAAAUCUCUCCUCUGCUGGAUAGUCCCACAAACUUUGAAAGGUAGCUACAUAUGCUAGUUAUCACCAUCUCCCUUACACACCUACAUACAACCUUGGAUCUUUUCGUUAUUUCUGAAUAACUCUGUGCACCAGAUUUCUUAUUAUACUUUUAACUUUCCUCAUUUUUACUUUGUUUAUCAAUGUCUCUGAAUGUCUGCAGCUCAGAAUUUAUAAAACAGAACAAAUGUGGUCUGAUCACCAGUGAGUACUAGAGAACUAGCUCCCCUCUUGAGCACUACAUUUCUAUAAGUACAACAAAAGAUUGAUUUUUUUUAAAAGCUACAUCCCACUGUGUCGACUCAUCACCUUCUUACCAUCAACAGGAGACUGUAAACCUUCCUGCCAUGUGUAGCUCAGUACAUCAUCUCGCCCCCACUCAGUACUUUUACAAUUCAAUUUGGGGAUCUUUGAGUACUUUAUAUUGGUAUCCAUUAAAUGCUAUAUUGUUAGAUAUGAUUCAUUAUUACAUUUUGUCAGGAUUGGGGGCGGGGAGAGAAUCCGAUUGUAUCCUCCGACUCAUUUGUUAUUCUUUUUAAUGUGUGUCAUCUGUAAAUUUGUUCAGCAUACCAUCAAUGUUAUUGUCUUAGUCAUCGAUAAAAGUGUUCAGGGAAAAACCAGACUUUCAUUAGAUCCCUAGAGACCCAAAUGUGCAUCAGCCUCUUUGAAGAAAAAAAGAAAACAAGGGCCGGGUGUGGUGGCUCAUGCUUGUAACCCCAGCACUUUGGGAGGCUGAGGAAGGAGGACUGCUUGAGGCCAGGAGUUCAAGACCAGCCUGGGUAAUGUAGCAAAACUUCAUCUCUAUUUUAAAAAGUAUAAAAAUUAAAAAGAAAAACUUGCAAAAGACAUCAUUCAUUCAAUCAAAAAAUAUUUACUGAGUUACUACUCCAAGUGCUGAGCAUCUAGUGCUGAACAAAAUAAUUGCCUGCCCUCAUGAUGCUUACAUUCUAGAAGGGGAGGUAGACAAUAAACAAUUAAGUGUUUUGGAAAGCAAAAGCAGUUAUGAGGCUAGAAAAAUUUGACAGUGGGGAUGGAGUGGGGUUGUUGAUAGGCAAUGUGGCUAAAGCAGUUGUUUCUGGAGUAUGGCUGAACUACUCACGUCUUGCAUUAUUCACCUGGCCCAGAGUGGGCAGCAAGUCUUUCUGAUUCUCAAAAUCCACUUUUCUUUUUCUUUUUUAUUUUUUUGAGAUAAGGUCUUGCUCUGUUGCCUCUACUAGCGUGCAGUGUUGUGAUCAUGGCUCACUGCAGCCUCAAACUCCUGAGCUCAAGUGACCCUCCUGCCUUAGCCUCCCAAGUAGCUGGGACUACAGGCACAUGCUACCUAUAAACACUGGGAUUACAGUCAUGAGCUACUGUGUCCAGCUGAAAAUUCACUUUUGUGUAUGCACUUUUAGAAAAAAAUCAAUAGAACAAUGAUGAAGAAUUUUUUUUUUUUUUUGAGAUGAAGUCUUACACUGUUGCCUGGGCUGGAGUGCAGUGGUGUGAUCUCGGCUUAUUGCAACCUCUGCCUCCUUGGUUCAAGCGAUUUUCCUGCCUCAGCCACCCGAGUAGCUGGGAUUACAGGUGCCUGCCACACGCCCAGCUAAUUUUUUGUAUUUUUAGUAAAGACAGGAUUUCGCCUUGUUGGCCAGGCUGGUCUCAAACUGCUGACCUCAUGAUUCGCCUGCCUCAGCCUUCCAGAGUGCUGGGAUUACAGGCAUGAGCCACCGCACCCAGCCAAAGAAUUUAAAUACCUAUGAAACAGAAGAGAAAAUGUAAAAGGAUGGAAGUCUUCAGAAGACUUCACAACAUUUCUUUGUACACGUAGCAUAUUCAAACAUUGUGAAACAACUAGACUAGUCAGGAGUCCAGUCACAUCUUCUGAUGAAGACUCCAGAGAGAAGAAUUGAAAAAGCAUUACUGUACUGGUACAGUACAUUGUUGACAAGUAAAGAGAGAAAGAACUACAACGUCAACACUUACCGAAUU